Molecule: ribosomal RNA, 216 nt
Filed under: uncultured Mamiellales
Lineage: Eukaryota; Viridiplantae; Chlorophyta; Mamiellophyceae; Mamiellales
Description: partial Bacterial small subunit ribosomal RNA
Rfam family: Bacterial small subunit ribosomal RNA
Source: RNAcentral
AGGAUUAGAUACCCUGGUAGUCCUUGCCGUAAACGAUGCAUACUUGGUGUAGUUGGACUCAACCCCGACUGUGCCGUAGCUAACGCGUUAAGUAUGCCACCUGGGGAGUACGCCCGCAAGGGUGAAACUCAAAAGAAUUGACGGGGGCCCGCACAAGCAGUGGAGCAUGUGGUUUAAUUCGAUGCAACGCGAAGAACCUUACCUACUCUUGACAUC